UACGGAGGUGGCAAGCGUUGCUCGGAAUCACUGGGCGUGAAGGGCGCGUAGGCGGGGAGGCAAGGCGGGGGGGAAAUCCCUCGGCCCAACCGAGGAACUGCGCCCGAGACUGCUUCUCUUGAGUCCCGGAGAGGAAGGUGGAAUUCCCGGUGUAGCGGUGAAAUGUGUAGAGAUCGGGAGGAACACCGGUGGCGAAGGCGGCCUUCUGGACGGUGACUGACGCUGAGGCGCGAAAGCGUGGGGAGCAAACGGG
RNAcentral lists this ribosomal RNA (253 nucleotides) under uncultured bacterium. Its description in RNAcentral is "partial 16S ribosomal RNA". It matches the Rfam family "Bacterial small subunit ribosomal RNA", at positions 524 to 776 of the family's 1533-position model. The record is from RNAcentral.